Molecule: ribosomal RNA, 274 nt
Filed under: uncultured bacterium
Lineage: Bacteria
Description: partial 16S ribosomal RNA
Rfam family: Bacterial small subunit ribosomal RNA
Source: RNAcentral
AUACGGAGGGUGCAAGCGUUGUCCGGAUUUAUUGGGUUUAAAGGGUACGUAGGCGGAUUUUUAAGUCCGUGGUGAAAGCCCAUCGCUUAACGAUGGAACUGCCAUGGAUACUGGAAAUCUCGAGUUCAGUUGAGGUAAGCGGAAUUUAUGAUGUAGCGGUGAAAUGCAUAGAUAUCAUAAAGAACACCUAUUGCGAAGGCAGCUUACUGGACUUGGACUGACGCUAAUGUACGAAAGCGUGGGGAGCGAACAGGAUUAGAAACCCCGGUAGUCC